UUUUUCUUCGGACAGAUUACAAGGUGCUGCAUGGUUGUCGUCAGCUCGUGCCGUGAGGUGUCAGGUUAAGUCCUAUAACGAGCGCAACCCCUGUGGUUAGUUGCCAGCGAGUCAAGUCGGGAACUCUAGCCAGACUGCCGGUGCAAACCGUGAGGAAGGUGGGGAUGACGUCAAAUCAUCACGGCCCUUACGUCCUGGGCCACACACGUGCUACAAUGGUAGGUACAGAGAGCAGCCACGUCGCAAGGCGGAGCGAAUCUAUAAAACCUAUCACAGUUCGGAUCGGGGUCUGCAACUCGACCCCGUGAAGCUGGAAUCGCUAGUAAUCGCAUAUCAGCCAUGAUGCGGUGAAUACGUUCCCGGGCCUUGUACACACCGCCCGUCAAGCCAUGGAAGCUGGGGGUACCUGAAGUCCGUCACCGCAAGGAGCGGCCUAGGGUAAGACCGGUAACUGGGGCUAAGUCGUAACAAGGUAGCCGUACCGGAAGGUGCGGCUGGAACACCUCCUUUCU
This 512-nucleotide ribosomal RNA is filed under the name Leeuwenhoekiella blandensis MED217. RNAcentral describes it as "bacterial SSU rRNA". It matches the Rfam family "Bacterial small subunit ribosomal RNA", at positions 1013 to 1533 of the family's 1533-position model. The record is from RNAcentral. Lineage: Bacteria; Pseudomonadati; Bacteroidota; Flavobacteriia; Flavobacteriales; Flavobacteriaceae.